GGCUAGACAUGCCUGCAAUGACACAGAAGAACUGGCAAUGAAACCAAUACUACUUAUUUCAUUACGGUCUGUGUGCCAUAGCUGGCGUGUCUCUAGCCA
This 99-nucleotide microRNA precursor is filed under the name Caenorhabditis briggsae. Its description in RNAcentral is "microRNA cbr-mir-2226 precursor". Lineage: Eukaryota; Metazoa; Nematoda; Chromadorea; Rhabditida; Rhabditidae. The record is from miRBase by way of RNAcentral.